UGGCUAAACAUAUAGACCCUUAAAGUUUAU
This 30-nucleotide non-coding RNA is filed under the name Homo sapiens (human). The record is from RNAcentral. Lineage: Eukaryota; Metazoa; Chordata; Mammalia; Primates; Hominidae.